AUCCUACGGGACGCAGCAGUGGGGGAUAUUGCACAAUGGGGGAAACCCUGAUGCAGCGACGCCGCGUGAGCGAUGAAGUAUUUCGGUAUGUAAAGCUCUAUCAGCAGGGAAGAAAAUGACGGUACCUGACUAAGAAGCCCCGGCUAACUACGUGCCAGCAGCCGCGGUAAUACGUAGGGGGCAAGCGUUAUCCGGAUUUACUGGGUGUAAAGGGAGCGUAGACGGCAGAGCAAGUCCGAAGUGAAAACCCAAAGCUCAACUAUGGGAAUGCUUUAGAAACUGCUCAGCUAGAGUGCAGGAGAGGC
Molecule: ribosomal RNA, 305 nt
Filed under: uncultured bacterium
Lineage: Bacteria
Description: bacterial SSU rRNA
Rfam family: Bacterial small subunit ribosomal RNA
Source: RNAcentral